Molecule: ribosomal RNA, 280 nt
Filed under: uncultured bacterium
Lineage: Bacteria
Description: partial 16S ribosomal RNA
Rfam family: Bacterial small subunit ribosomal RNA
Source: RNAcentral
GUGCCAGCAGCCGCGGUAAUACGUAGGUGGCAAGCGUUGUCCGGAUUUAUUGGGCGUAAAGCGAGCGCAGGCGGUUUCUUAAGUCUGAUGUGAAAGCCCCCGGCUCAACCGGGGAGGGUCAUUGGAAACUGGGAGACUUGAGUGCAGAAGAGGAGAGUGGAAUUCCAUGUGUAGCGGUGAAAUGCGUAGAUAUAUGGAGGAACACCAGUGGCGAAGGCGGCUCUCUGGUCUGCAACUGACGCUGAGGCUCGAAAGCGUGGGGAGCAAACAGGAUUAGAUA